GACGAACGCUGGCGGCGUGCCUAAUACAUGCAAGUCGAGCGAAGCGGCGGAUGGGUGAGUAACGCGUGGGUAACCUGCUCUUAAGUCUGGGAUACCAGUUGGAAACAGAUGCCAAUACAGGAUAAUAAAGGAUGAACCUGCGAUGCAUUAGAUAGUUGGUAAGGUAACGGCUUACCAAGGCGAUGAUGCAUGGCCGAGUUGAGAGAGUGAUCGGCCACAUUGUGACUGAGACACGGCCCAAACUCCUACGGGAGGCAGCAGUGGGGAAUCUUGCACAAUGGACGAAAGUCUGAUGGAGCAACGCCGCGUGAGUGAAGAAGGUUUUCGGGUCGUAAAGCUCGUUUGUUGGUGAGGCGGUAAUCAACCAGAAAGUCACGGCUAACUACGUGCCAGCAGCCGCGGUAAUAC
RNAcentral lists this ribosomal RNA (408 nucleotides) under uncultured bacterium. RNAcentral describes it as "partial 16S ribosomal RNA". It matches the Rfam family "Bacterial small subunit ribosomal RNA", at positions 28 to 526 of the family's 1533-position model. The record is from RNAcentral.